UAUCCGCCGCGCGCGCAGGAGACUUGAGAAGGGCUGUCCCUAGUACGAGAGGACCGGGACGGACGAACCUCUGGUGUGCCAGUUGUUCUGCCAAGGGCAUGGCUGGUUGGCUACGUUCGGAAGGGAUAACCGCUGAAAGCAUCUAAGCGGGAAGCUCGCUUCAAGAUGAGGUCUCCCACAGGGUAGCCUGGUAAGGCCCCCGACUAGAUGAUCGGGUUGAUAGGCCGGAGGUGGAAGUGCGGUGACGCAUGGAGCUGACCGGUACUAAUAGGCCGAGGGCUUGACUAC
Non-coding RNA from Frankia sp., 288 nucleotides. NCBI's taxonomy places the organism in Bacteria, Bacillati, Actinomycetota, Actinomycetes, Frankiales, Frankiaceae. The record is from Rfam.